CGGCUCUUCGGAGCAGUGGCGCACGGGUGAGUAACGCGUGGGAACCUACCCUGAGGUUCGGAAUAACGGCUGGAAACGGCCGCUAAUACCGGAUGUGCCCUGAGGGGCAAAGGCUUGCCGCCUUGGGAGGGGCCCGCGUCCGAUUAGCUUGUUGGUGGGGUAACGGCCUACCAAGCCGACGAUCCAUAGCUGGUUUGAGAGGAUGAUCAGCCACACUGGGACUGAGACACGGCCCAGACUCC
RNAcentral lists this ribosomal RNA (242 nucleotides) under uncultured bacterium. RNAcentral describes it as "partial 16S ribosomal RNA". It matches the Rfam family "Bacterial small subunit ribosomal RNA", at positions 67 to 339 of the family's 1533-position model. The record is from RNAcentral.